GGGGUUGUGGCUCAGUGGUAGAGCGCUCGCCUACAUGUGCGAGUCACCGGGUUCGAUCCUCAGCACCA
Molecule: transfer RNA, 68 nt
Filed under: Marmota monax (woodchuck)
Lineage: Eukaryota; Metazoa; Chordata; Mammalia; Rodentia; Sciuridae
Rfam family: tRNA
About the family: Transfer RNA (tRNA) molecules are approximately 80 nucleotides in length. Their secondary structure includes four short double-helical elements and three loops (D, anti-codon, and T loops).
Source: Rfam by way of RNAcentral